UACGUAGGGGGCGAGCGUUGUCCGGAUUUAUUGGGCGUAAAGAGCGUGUAGGCGGCCAGACAGGUCAGCUGUGAAAACUCGAGGCUCAACCUCGAGACGUCGGUUGAAACCGUCUGGCUAGAGUCCGGAAGAGGAGAGUGGAAUUCCCGGUGUAGCGGUGAAAUGCGCAGAUAUCGGGAAGAACACCCGUGGCGAAGGCGGCUCUCUGGGACGGUACUGACGCUGAGACGCGAAAGCGUGGGGAGCGAACAGG
This 253-nucleotide ribosomal RNA is filed under the name uncultured bacterium. RNAcentral's name for it is "partial 16S ribosomal RNA". It matches the Rfam family "Bacterial small subunit ribosomal RNA", at positions 524 to 776 of the family's 1533-position model. The record is from RNAcentral.